GCCGCGUGAGUGAUGAAGGUCUUCGGAUCGUAAAGCUCUGUCUUUAGGGAAGAACAGCUUAGUUGUGAAUAACAGCUAGGUUUGACGGUACCUUUAAAUGAAGCCCUGGCUAACUACGUGCCAGCAGCCGCGGUAAUACGUAGAGGGCUAGCGUUGUCCGGAAUUAUUGGGUGUAAAGGGUACGCAGGCGGUCUAGCAAGUCAGAAGUGAAAUCCACUGGCUCAACCAGUGAACUGCUUUUGAAACUGUUAGACUUGAGGAUAAGAGAAGAAAGCGGAAUUCCUAGUGUAGUGGUGAAAUACGUAGAUAUUAGGAAGAAUACCGAUGGCGAAAGCAGCUUUCUAACUUA
This 349-nucleotide ribosomal RNA is filed under the name uncultured bacterium. RNAcentral describes it as "bacterial SSU rRNA". It matches the Rfam family "Bacterial small subunit ribosomal RNA", at positions 396 to 736 of the family's 1533-position model. The record is from RNAcentral.